GUAAGAAAAUUCUACUUCUUCGUGGAAGUUUUAGUGUCUGAUGCAUAAUGGUAAAAUUACUUAGCAAAAAGCUGCCAAUCCUAAGUGGAUUGCAGAAAAAAGAUGUUCAGGAGAUUUUAAGGAUUCACCAUAUCACUACCAUUAAUUAAUUUAUUAAUAAAUAAUAUAUUUGUGUUCAUUGUA
Long non-coding RNA from Leptopilina boulardi, 183 nucleotides. RefSeq lists it as uncharacterized. The record is from RefSeq and is a predicted model, not a curated record. NCBI's taxonomy places the organism in Eukaryota, Metazoa, Arthropoda, Insecta, Hymenoptera, Figitidae. The transcript is spliced from 3 exons.